UCUGGUGACAUUAAAGCCCUGCGUCAGACAGUAUCCUUCUGAAAUUUGUUUAUUGCUUCUUGUUCUGCCUUAUCCGGAACAUUAAUAACUUAUUAGCUGCAAGUUACAGGCAGCUUUCGUCAUCGAUGAUUGAUCAAACAUCAGUGUAUUGCCUGUCUGUUUGCUAUACACAUUCGUAGUGUUCUUCUUGUUUUGCAAGCACUUGGAAGUGAAUAACCUUCGGCCAUGUCUUGUUUUUUCGACUUAAGAACGAGAUCAAGCACUUGCAAGUACUGCUCAUGCUGUACAAAAUUUUACUAGAAGGGAACGCUGCAACUGAACUGCAUGUAUAUUAAGUGCCGAAGACAGAAAAAACCGACUACUCCACUUCAACUACUGUCGCUAUCUAUAUGUUCGCUUUUGUUUAUGAGAGUCUUCUGGAAAGACGCCAUUUUAAACUGGCUAUUGCCUUAUAAACGCAAACGACAACAAGACGCCUGUUAGUGUGAAACCUACUAGCUGGACAAACGGGAGAAUUAAUUCCUCAAUUUCAAAUUUAUUUAAAUAACAGGCUGAAUAUUUCGUGGACAUGCUGUACUAAUGUGGAAAAACGAAAAUUUUUACUUCGCGAGAGGUAUGCGACAAUACCUUUCAAGGCAUAAGAGCUGCUGGGAGAGGGCGGACCCGAGGACGGUUCAGCCCUGGGUUACAAAUAACUUAUGCGGGUCUACCAAGCUUAUAAGGACACUCUCAACUAAUGGGCUGAAGAGCUUUGUCUCCCCGAUUCGCUGUUGAUAUUUCUAAUAAAAACGAUCUGCUAUCAGUUCAAUCAC
This is a long non-coding RNA of Varroa destructor (honeybee mite), 812 nucleotides long. RefSeq lists it as uncharacterized. The record is from RefSeq and is a predicted model, not a curated record. NCBI's taxonomy places the organism in Eukaryota, Metazoa, Arthropoda, Arachnida, Mesostigmata, Varroidae.